AAUAGAUACCCGGGUAGUCCACGCCGUAAACGAUGAUCACUCGCUGUUGGCGAUACACAGUCAGCGGCUAAGCAAAAGCAUUAAGUGAUCCACCUGGGGAGUACGGCCGCAAGGCUGAAACUCAAAGGAAUUGACGGGGGCCCGCACAAGCGGAGGAACAUGUGGUUUAAUUCGAUGAUACGCGGGGAACCUUACCUGGGCUUAAAUGUAUAGUGCAUUCUGCCGAAAAGCAGAUUUCCUUCGGGACUCUAUGCAAGGUGCUGCAUGGUUGUCGUCAGCUCGUGCCGUGAGGUGUCGGGUUAAGUCCCAUAACGAGCGCAACCCUUAUCGUUAGUUGCCGGCGGGUAAUGCCGGGAACUCUAGCGAAACUGCCGGUGUAAACCGAGAGGAAGGUGGGGAUGACGUCAAAUCAGCGCGGCCCUUAUGUCCAGGGCUACACACGUGUUACAAUGGCCGGUACAGAGGGCAGCUACCUGAUGACAGGAUGCGAAUCUCGAAAGCCGGUCUCAGUUCGGAUCGGAGUCUGCUAACG
This 532-nucleotide ribosomal RNA is filed under the name uncultured bacterium. Its description in RNAcentral is "bacterial SSU rRNA". It matches the Rfam family "Bacterial small subunit ribosomal RNA", at positions 777 to 1313 of the family's 1533-position model. The record is from RNAcentral.